Molecule: ribosomal RNA, 440 nt
Filed under: uncultured bacterium
Lineage: Bacteria
Description: partial 16S ribosomal RNA
Rfam family: Bacterial small subunit ribosomal RNA
Source: RNAcentral
CCUACGGGAGGCAGCAGUGGGGAAUAUUGCACAAUGGGGGAAACCCUGAUGCAGCGACGCCGCGUGAGUGAAGAAGUAUUUCGGUAUGUAAAGCUCUAUCAGCAGGGAAGAAAAUGACGGUACCUGACUAAGAAGCCCCGGCUAACUACGUGCCAGCAGCCGCGGGAAUACGUAGGGGGCAAGCGGUAUCCGGAUUUACUGGGUGGAAAGGGAGCGUAGACGGCCAGACAAGUCAGAAGUGAAAGCCCAGGGCUCAACCCUGGGACUGCUUUUGAAACUGCCGGGCUGGAGUGCAGGAGAGGUAAGCGGAAUUCCUAGUGUAGCGGUGAAAUGCGUAGAUAUUAGGAGGAACACCAGUGGCGAAGGCGGCUUACUGGACUGUAACUGACGUUGAGGCUCGAAAGCGUGGGGAGCAAACAGGAUUAGAUACCCCAGUAGUC